AGGUUCUGUCGUUCACUUAGACUCUGAUUUUUCUGCUGGUCAGUGCAUGACAGAACUUCA
This 60-nucleotide microRNA precursor is filed under the name Eptatretus burgeri (inshore hagfish). RNAcentral describes it as "Ebu-Mir-148_pre stem-loop". Lineage: Eukaryota; Metazoa; Chordata; Myxini; Myxiniformes; Myxinidae. The record is from RNAcentral.